Molecule: ribosomal RNA, 393 nt
Filed under: uncultured bacterium
Lineage: Bacteria
Description: bacterial SSU rRNA
Rfam family: Bacterial small subunit ribosomal RNA
Source: RNAcentral
AUUGAACGCUGGCGGCAUGCCUUACACAUGCAAGUCGAACGGCAGCACGGGAGCAAUCCUGGUGGCGAGUGGCGAACGGGUGAGUAAUAUAUCGGAACGUGCCCAGUCGUGGGGAUAACGUAGCGAAAGCUACGUUAAUACCGCAUACGAUCUAUGGAUGAAAGCGGGGGAUCGCAAGACCUCGCGCGAUUGGAGCGGCCGAUAUCAGAUUAGGUAGUUGGUGAGGUAAAGGGCUCACCAAGCCGACGAUCUGUAGCUGGUCUGAGAGGACGACCAGCCACACUGGGACUGAGACACGGCCCAGACUCCUACGGGAGGCAGCAGUGGGGAAUUUUGGACAAUGGGCGCAAGCCUGAUCCAGCAAUGCCGCGUGCAGGAUGAAGGCCUUCGGUU